Molecule: unclassified non-coding RNA, 360 nt
Filed under: Arctotis hirsuta
Lineage: Eukaryota; Viridiplantae; Streptophyta; Magnoliopsida; Asterales; Asteraceae
Description: partial miscellaneous RNA
Source: RNAcentral
CACCAACGUCCACGUGUUCAUACCUCCUCGUUAUGCUUCUAACCUUGCUUGGGUUUGAGCAUUUGGUGGCUUUACUGUGUUGCGUACCUUGUCAAAGGCAUCGGAUGUUUUGAUCCUAAACAUUUCCGUCGUGCGUUGCACUUGUUGCGAACGAUGGACCUUGAAGCGAUCUCUUCGAUCCAUGUCUUUGUUGUGUUUUCGACGAUGAUGUGGCCCGUUGAGCGUUGCUUGGUCUCAUGGAUAUGGAACCUGAUUGCGGGCAUGGGUUCUCUCACGAUCCCUUUUAUGUCCUUGUUCAGCGUUCUCGCUUCUCUAAACGACCGCCAUCCAUGUGCUAUGUGCGUGGUUGGCUACGUCGAA